RNAcentral lists this small nuclear RNA (39 nucleotides) under Cervus elaphus hippelaphus. The record is from RNAcentral. Lineage: Eukaryota; Metazoa; Chordata; Mammalia; Artiodactyla; Cervidae.
AUCACUUCUUGGCCUUUUAGCUAAGAUCAAGCAUAGUAU